AAACUAACCAAGGAUUUCCCCUAGUAACGGCGAGUGAAGCGGGGAAGAGCUCAAAUUUGAAAUCUGGCAGUCUUCGAUUGUCCGAGUUGUAAUCUAUAGAGGCGUUUUCCGUGCCGGACCGUGUCCAAGUCUCCUGGAAAGGAGUAUCAAAGAGGGUGAUAAUCCCGUACUUAACACGACCACCGGUGCUCUGUGAUACGUCUUCUACGAGUCGAGUUGUUUGGGAAUGCAGCUCAAAAUGGGUGGUGAAUUCCAUCUAAAGCUAAAUAUUGGCGAGAGACCGAUAGCGAACAAGUACCGUGAGGGAAAGAUGAAAAGCACUUUGGAAAGAGAGUUAAACAGUACGUGAAAUUGUUGAAAGGGAAACGAUUGAAGUCAGUCGUGUUCUUUGGAUUCAGCCAGUUCUGCUGGUCUACUUCCUUUGAACGGGUCAACAUCAGUUUUGUCCGGUGGAUAAAGGUAGUAGGAAUGUGACUUCUCCGGAAGUGUUAUAGCCUAUUAUCACAUACACUGGGUGAGACUGAGGACUGCAGCUCGCCUUUAUGGCCGACCUUCGGGUACGUUCGAGCUUAGGAUGUGACAUAAUGGCUUAAC
RNAcentral lists this ribosomal RNA (594 nucleotides) under Trichosporon sp. ST-59. Its description in RNAcentral is "eukaryotic LSU rRNA". It matches the Rfam family "Eukaryotic large subunit ribosomal RNA", at positions 62 to 643 of the family's 3401-position model. Lineage: Eukaryota; Fungi; Basidiomycota; Tremellomycetes; Trichosporonales; Trichosporonaceae. The record is from RNAcentral.